UGGACAAAUUAUUAUAUUCAACUGUAUUCACGGCGUGAAGUAGGAGAUUACACUGUUUUUAAAACGGAAAGUGAAUCAAUUAACAUAAUAGACUCUU
RNAcentral lists this microRNA precursor (97 nucleotides) under Nicotiana sylvestris (wood tobacco). RNAcentral's name for it is "MIR6152 microRNA precursor family". It matches the Rfam family "MIR6152 microRNA precursor family". RNAcentral also lists the same sequence under 1 other name. The record is from Rfam by way of RNAcentral. Lineage: Eukaryota; Viridiplantae; Streptophyta; Magnoliopsida; Solanales; Solanaceae.